This 133-nucleotide long non-coding RNA is filed under the name Chinchilla lanigera (long-tailed chinchilla). Its description in RNAcentral is "lncRNA (ENSCLAG00000027663.1)". Lineage: Eukaryota; Metazoa; Chordata; Mammalia; Rodentia; Chinchillidae. The record is from RNAcentral.
CCGCGGGUUCCUCUGGGAAGUGGCUCAGAGCUUGUCACAGAAGGAAGAUAAUUCACACGGGAUGUGGUCAUCCAAGGCUGGCCUCAGACGGGAGCCUGCCUAGAACUUUGCGAGGAAGGCCCAAGUUGCAGGU